Molecule: non-coding RNA, 111 nt
Organism: Sturnus vulgaris (Common starling)
Lineage: Eukaryota; Metazoa; Chordata; Aves; Passeriformes; Sturnidae
Source: RefSeq, a predicted model, not a curated record
AUGAACAAAGAAAAAGACACCACCCAACAUUUUCCAUGUUGUCCCAUAUCCACCACUGUGCUGUAAAAACCUCAAAUUUAAAACCCAUCACCCACUCUGUAGCUGGGGCUC